RNAcentral lists this non-coding RNA (26 nucleotides) under Mus musculus (house mouse). Lineage: Eukaryota; Metazoa; Chordata; Mammalia; Rodentia; Muridae. The record is from RNAcentral.
CCAAGGUCCAGAGAUCCAUUGCAUGC